This 644-nucleotide ribosomal RNA is filed under the name uncultured bacterium. RNAcentral's name for it is "bacterial SSU rRNA". It matches the Rfam family "Bacterial small subunit ribosomal RNA", at positions 202 to 842 of the family's 1533-position model. The record is from RNAcentral.
UAAAGGAAGCGAUUCCGGCUACGGAUGGUCAUGCGUCGCAUUAGCUAGUUGGCGGGGUAACGGCCCACCAAGGCGACGAUGCGUAGGGGUUCUGAGAGGAAGGUCCCCCACACUGGUACUGAGACACGGACCAGACUCCUACGGGAGGCAGCAGUGAGGAAUAUUGGUCAAUGGCCGCAGGGCUGAACCAGCCAAGUCGCGUGAGGGAUGACGGUCCUAUGGAUUGUAAACCUCUUUUGUCAGGGAGCAAAGGGCGCCACGUGUGGCGCUUUGCGAGUACCUGAAGAAAAAGCAUCGGCUAACUCCGUGCCAGCAGCCGCGGUAAUACGGAGGAUGCGAGCGUUAUCUGGAUUUAUUGGGUUUAAAGGGUGCGCAGGCGGAAUGUCAAGUCAGCGGUAAAAUUUCGGGGCUCAACCCCGUCGUGCCGUUGAAACUGGCGUUCUUGAGUGAGCGAGAAGUAUGCGGAAUGCGUGGUGUAGCGGUGAAAUGCAUAGAUAUCACGCAGAACUCCGAUUGCGAAGGCAGCAUACCGGCGCUCAACUGACGCUCAUGCACGAAAGCGUGGGUAUCGAACAGGAUUAGAUACCCUGGUAGUCCACGCAGUAAACGAUGAAUACUAACUGUCCGGGCAGAAUGAUGCCUGG